Molecule: ribosomal RNA, 514 nt
Filed under: uncultured bacterium
Lineage: Bacteria
Description: bacterial SSU rRNA
Rfam family: Bacterial small subunit ribosomal RNA
Source: RNAcentral
AGGAUGAACGCUAGCUACAGGCUUAACACAUGCAAGUCGAGGGCAGCAUGGUCUUAGCUUGACUAAGACUGAUGGCGACCGGCGCACGGGUGAGUAACGCGUAUCCAACCCUUCCCCCUGGUAGGGCAUAGCCCGGCGAAAGUCGGAUUAAUACCCUAUGUUAUCCGAAGAGGACAUCUGAUUCGGAUCAAAGAUUUAUCGCCAGUGGGAGUGGGGAUGCGUCCGAUUAGGUUGACGGCGGGGUGACGGCCCACCGUGCCCGCGAUCGGUAGGGGUUCUGAGAGGAAGGUCCCCCACAUUGGAACUGAGACACGGUCCAAACUCCUACGGGAGGCAGCAGUGAGGAAUAUUGAUCAAUGGGCGUAAGCCUGAACCAGCCAAAAGUAGCGUGCGGGACGACCGGCCCUAGUGGGUUAGUAAACCGUCUUUUGCGAGGGGAAAUAAAGUGUGGGACGUGUCCCAUUUUGCAUGUACCCUGAGAAUAAGGACCGGCUAAUUCCGUGCCAGCCGCGGC